RNAcentral lists this long non-coding RNA (977 nucleotides) under Phasianus colchicus (ring-necked pheasant). RNAcentral describes it as "lncRNA (ENSPCLG00000012926.1)". The record is from RNAcentral. Lineage: Eukaryota; Metazoa; Chordata; Aves; Galliformes; Phasianidae.
GGUACCUACGGGGAAGGACAGGACUGUGAACAAACCAGACAUCAGCAGACCUUCUAUUUCCCUUGUUAAAAAGAUGGUAGCAGCUCAAAACAUGCCUGAGAGGGGCUCUUCUGAAAUGCCUUUGAUACCCAGUAAGAAGGCAGUGCACUGAAAUCAGCAGCUGAGGAUUCUCCGUACAGUAUCAUUUUCUUGGGAAAAAAAAAAAAAAAAAGUCUUAGAACUACAGUAAGUUCCCCAAGAUUCUGAAUUUUCACUGCCAGGCUCUACUUAACAUGUACCCCUGACAUUAGGUCCUGCAAACACUAUUAUACUCUUUUGCAGACUCAGACAAAUUAUUCUUGAGCUACUGCAUGUCUCCUUUGAAUUGCAAGGGAAAUGGCCCAAGAAGCAGCUUCCCUACUUCAGACAUCCACAUCCAAGCUGAAGAGACAAGGAGGCAGACAAUGAAAACCAAGAAGAAAAGGUUGUGGCACUCGGGAUGUGGGAUCGGAGAAAGGCUGAUGCUUCAUCCUGGAAGUCUCACUGUCUGUCACUCCUGCAGGUCCUCGCUCACACUUGUCCCAGCUACAGAGCUGCUACUGCGGCCCACAGGGAGCAGAGCUGGCCCUGAGCAUCCGACGCCUCCACAGUAACCAACACUCAAGCAGUUUCAGGAAGGUUGCUAAGCCAGAACAUUGUUCACUCUCAGGGUGAAAAGCAAUUUUUGUGAAUUUUCUACAUGGAGCAGCAGAGUUAACAGCCUUGCCUGCUCCUGUCCAACAGUGUUAGAGCCAAUUCCCUAACUUAGACUGAAUGUGCUGGGUCAGUUGCUUUCAGAAUCAGGUCAAAGAACUAGUACUGUACUCCUGUUUGUUAUCCAGCAUCAGAAAUCUGACAGAUUAACGCGGUAGUAAAUUCUCACCUGUCUUUAUCACUUACUGGUGAAGCAGAAUUUGAACUUGCCACAGGUGCAGUACAAUUCAGGAAAUGAGUUUUGC